GACGAAGGGGGCUAGCGUUGUUCGGAAUUACUGGGCGUAAAGCGCGUGUAGGCGGUUGCCCAAGUCGGGUGUGAAAGCCUUGAGCUCAACUCAAGAAAUGCACUCGGUACUGGGUGACUAGAGGACCGGAGAGGUGAGUGGAAUUCCCAGUGUAGCGGUGAAAUGCGUAGAUAUUGGGAGGAACACCAGUGGCGAAGGCGGCUCACUGGACCGGAACUGACGCUGAGGCGCGAAAGCGUGGGGAGCAAACAGG
RNAcentral lists this ribosomal RNA (253 nucleotides) under uncultured bacterium. RNAcentral's name for it is "partial 16S ribosomal RNA". It matches the Rfam family "Bacterial small subunit ribosomal RNA", at positions 524 to 776 of the family's 1533-position model. The record is from RNAcentral.